AUUGAACGCUGGCGGCAGGCCUAACACAUGCAAGUCGAACGGCAGCACAGAAGAGCUUGCUCUUUGGGUGGCGAGUGGCGGACGGGUGAGUAACACGUAGGAAUCUACCCAGUAGUGGGGGAUAACCUGGGGAAACCCAGGCUAAUACCGCAUACGCCCUGAGGGGGAAAGCGGGGGAUCUUCGGACCUCGCGCUAUUGGAUGAGCCUGCGUCGGAUUAGCUAGUUGGUGGGGUAAGGGCCCACCAAGGCGACGAUCCGUAGCUGGUCUGAGAGGAUGAUCAGCCACACUGGGACUGAGACACGGCCCAGACUCCUACGGGAGGCAGCAGUGGGGAAUCUUGCGCAAUGGGCGAAAGCCUGACGCAGCCAUGCCGCGUGAAUGAUGAAGGUCUUAGGAUUGUAAAAUUCUUUUCACCGGGGAAGAUAAUGACGGUACCCGGAGAAGAAGCCCCGGCUAACUUCGUG
RNAcentral lists this ribosomal RNA (466 nucleotides) under uncultured bacterium. Its description in RNAcentral is "bacterial SSU rRNA". It matches the Rfam family "Bacterial small subunit ribosomal RNA", at positions 30 to 507 of the family's 1533-position model. The record is from RNAcentral.